AGCCUACGGGGGGCAGCAGUGGGGAAUAUUGCACAAUGGGGGAAACCCUGAUGCAGCGACGCCGCGUGAGUGAAGAAGUAUUUCGGUAUGUAAAGCUCUAUCAGCAGGGAAGAUAAUGACGGUACCUGACUAAGAAGCCCCGGCUAACUACGUGCCAGCAGCCGCGGUAAUACGAAGGGGGCAAGCGUUAUCCGGAUUUACUGGGUGUAAAGGGAGCGUAGGUGGCGGGGCAGGUCAGAUGUGAAAA
RNAcentral lists this ribosomal RNA (247 nucleotides) under uncultured bacterium. RNAcentral's name for it is "partial 16S ribosomal RNA". It matches the Rfam family "Bacterial small subunit ribosomal RNA", at positions 335 to 600 of the family's 1533-position model. The record is from RNAcentral.